GACCAGAGGAAAUGAGAGACAAAUUCUGGUGCCAGUAACAAGAUGCAGAUUAUUUGAUUUAAGAAGCAAGCAUUUUACACAAUCUAACACCUGAAGAAAUAUGAGCUUCCUUUCUGUCUCUCAUUUUUGAAAGAAACCUUGUAUUAUGGGACCACCAAACCUUACUGAAGAAAACUUUACUUCACCUGUGAUACCUGGCCAUCCUCAGAACUGAGAUGGAUGGACAGCAGAACCAGGAUGACCUGAUGAAAGCAUUCCUGAGAUGAUGUUCCCAUAUCGCCUCUGUGCAUUAAAAUCAAAUGCAGAAGUCCCUGCUCGCCUCCACCCGCACCCUUCAGUGCAUUCUUCUCCUGGAAAUCACUCACUGCUCUCUUGCAGUGUACCAAUAAACUACUUUUCUAUA
Cavia porcellus (domestic guinea pig) is the source of this 403-nucleotide long non-coding RNA. RefSeq lists it as uncharacterized. The transcript is spliced from 2 exons. The record is from RefSeq and is a predicted model, not a curated record. Lineage: Eukaryota; Metazoa; Chordata; Mammalia; Rodentia; Caviidae.